RNAcentral lists this ribosomal RNA (253 nucleotides) under uncultured bacterium. RNAcentral's name for it is "partial 16S ribosomal RNA". It matches the Rfam family "Bacterial small subunit ribosomal RNA", at positions 524 to 776 of the family's 1533-position model. The record is from RNAcentral.
UACGUAGGGUGCGAGCGUUGUCCGGAAUUAUUGGGCGUAAAGAGCUCGUAGGCGGCUUGUCGCGUCGGAUGUGAAAGCCCGGGGCUUAACUCCGGGUCUGCAUUCGAUACGGGCAGGCUAGAGUUCGGUAGGGGAGAUCGGAAUUCCUGGUGUAGCGGUGAAAUGCGCAGAUAUCAGGAGGAACACCGGUGGCGAAGGCGGCGAUCUGGGUAGAUACUGACGCUGAGGUGCGAAAGCGUGGGGAGCAAACAGG